AUCUAUGGCCAUACCACCCUGAAUGUGCCUGAUCUCAUCUGCUCUUGGAAGAUAAGCAGGGUUGGGACUGGUUAGUACUUGGAUGGGAGACGUGAUGGAGUAUUCUAAAGACAGAUG
This 117-nucleotide ribosomal RNA is filed under the name Prolemur simus (greater bamboo lemur). Lineage: Eukaryota; Metazoa; Chordata; Mammalia; Primates; Lemuridae. The record is from RNAcentral.